RNAcentral lists this transfer RNA (138 nucleotides) under Anabaena cylindrica PCC 7122. It matches the Rfam family "tRNA". Rfam says of the family: Transfer RNA (tRNA) molecules are approximately 80 nucleotides in length. Their secondary structure includes four short double-helical elements and three loops (D, anti-codon, and T loops). Further hydrogen bonds mediate the characteristic L-shaped molecular structure. tRNAs have two regions of fundamental functional importance: the anti-codon, which is responsible for specific mRNA codon recognition, and the 3' end, to which the tRNAs corresponding amino acid is attached (by aminoacyl-tRNA synthetases). tRNAs cope with the degeneracy of the genetic code in two manners: having more than one tRNA (with a specific anti-codon) for a particular amino acid; and 'wobble' base-pairing, i.e. permitting non-standard base-pairing at the 3rd anti-codon position. The record is from Rfam by way of RNAcentral. Lineage: Bacteria; Bacillati; Cyanobacteriota; Cyanophyceae; Nostocales; Nostocaceae.
GCGGGAAUAGCUCAGUUUGGUAGAGCGUUAAACGGGGUAAAACCCAUAUUCCUUAGUUAACAAACUUGCCUGCAAAGGCCGACUUACUGAGGGUUAUCGAAACUUUAAGUGUCGCAGGUUCAAAUCCUGCUUCUCGCG